This is a long non-coding RNA of Zophobas morio, 698 nucleotides long. RefSeq lists it as uncharacterized. Lineage: Eukaryota; Metazoa; Arthropoda; Insecta; Coleoptera; Tenebrionidae. The record is from RefSeq and is a predicted model, not a curated record. The transcript is spliced from 4 exons.
AUGGGGGGAGGGGAGUCCAAAUUCAACACACGCAUUGACGCAAGAGGGCCCUGGCCCGCCUUCGUGAGAGACCUUUUUAGUGUCGCGGCGUCGUGCAGUGCCACCUUGUAGAGCAGUAAUAUAGCGUCCGACCCAAGAGGACUGAGAAAGCGGAAGACUAAACUAAGUUCCGAACACCCGCCGCUACCACCAACCAAUGGGGGAGGUGGCAAUCUCAGGCACAAAGACCCGAGAAGUCACUUGGAGAUACCGGCAAACCGCUACUCCCCGACUCAAGCCCCCCAGAAGCGAGGCACUCCCGGGGCCCCACCUCGGUUUAGUUAGGUUUUAUCGCCUUGCUAAAAAGUCCAACUUUCCACGUGUUGUAUGUAAGUGUAAUACAAAUUUGUUACGUUUUAACAUUAAUUCGUCUCCAAUAAUUUUAUAUUUUUUAACCUUGCAAAUCACGCGGCCACUUCUAUUUGUUGUUGUUUCUCAACCCUCUUGUGUCCGACGUGUUUUUUUUCAGCGCUGACGCAUUUUUUGCUUUUUUCAGAUAUUUUAGUCUGUUUUGCCCUUAGACUUUCCGGUUGCUACUUUUUUUUGAAGGCUUUUCGACUGCCGAGGAAAGUUCUUUACACCUGGACACUAGUUUAACGGAUUUAGAUACUAUUAGCCUUUCAAUCAGAUUAAUGUUCUUUUUGGUUUUUAAAUUUUUA